GUUUCAAGUAAGUCAUUAAUUGAUGAGUUCAUCCACAUAAUUGGAUUAGCACUCCUUGUGUCUUUUAUCAAUAGUUUUACUUAUAAAAAUAACCGAUAUUUGAUGUAUUUAUGUGAUUAUUCAUUAUACUUGCAAUUUUUCAGUGGACUGCUGCAUACUGCAGGCAAGUUUACAAUUGACUGUUACAUACUGUCAAAAGAAAAUAAGAUAAAUCCAAGGCAAUACAGAUAGAAGUGGAAAUGUCAAUAAUGAAAAUUGUUCCUUAAUUU
RNAcentral lists this unclassified non-coding RNA (269 nucleotides) under Hevea brasiliensis (rubber tree). The record is from RNAcentral. Lineage: Eukaryota; Viridiplantae; Streptophyta; Magnoliopsida; Malpighiales; Euphorbiaceae.